Molecule: RNA transcript, 1210 nt
Organism: Tripterygium wilfordii
Lineage: Eukaryota; Viridiplantae; Streptophyta; Magnoliopsida; Celastrales; Celastraceae
Gene name: DNA polymerase zeta processivity subunit
Exons: 6
Source: RefSeq, a predicted model, not a curated record
ACCUGCUCCACCUAUCUUCGAUAUCUGCAACGAUCGACAAACUGAAAUGCAUCGGAGAGAUGAUCAAUCUCCACAAGGUGAUCGAUGUUUCUGUAUCUGCAGUUGCUGAUUUUGCAAAAUUAAAAUUCUUGAUCCAUCAAAAAUAUUUUUCAGGAGAAACGGCACGGAUUCUGGUGGAAUUCUUGGAGGUCGCCAUUAAUUCGAUUGUUUUCCUCAAAGGAGUGUACCCAACAGGUGCAUUUGAAAGGAGGAGGUAUAUGAAUGUGGUAGUUCAGAGGGCUAGACACCCUCAGCUUAGAGAGUAUAUCCACUCUGCUGUUACUGGACUUCUUCCCUUUAUUCAGAAGGGAUUGGUGGAAAGAGUAGCAGUGAUCUUUUUCAAUACUGACAACAUGCCAGUGGAGAGCUUUAUUUUCAAGCUCAUGGUUAGCCUAUCUUAUGGCGCUAAGGUAGAAGAAGGUGACUUGGAGUUCUCCCUCAGAUCAUUCUUGAUCAAGCUCUCAGUCUCUGAGCCUGUUACCAAGGUUCUUCCGCAUGAUUUCAGGUGGGAGAUAACUGCUUACUUUCGUUCCCUACCCAAAGUUGAUACAAGCACAGAUGCAGAAUUGUGGAUUCCAACAGACACAAAGCAGUGGCAACAACCUCCACAAAUUACCCCAAUUAAGUCGAUGAGUAGUGAACCUCUAAGCAUGCAGCUAUAUUUAGAACAUCCAAGCAUAUCUGAACCACAGCCUUGAAUGGAUUAACAUAACAAUUGUACAACUUCGUAGCAAAUAACCUGUGGUUGACCUUGAAUACAACAGAUCCACGCUUGCAUCAACUGCCAUUAGUCGAGAAGAGCUUUGCAUUCGCAGGUUAAUCUUCAGAAAUGUGGAAAGGAUGCCUCAAGCGUUGAAAUCUGAAUCUUGAUCUAACUAGCAUUUUGUAGGAGGAGCAGAUGCCACAAUGUAAAGGAACAUGAUUACUCCUCUCUAAACAAUAUAAGGUCUCUCUCCAAGUCCGAUUGUCUACACUACACAAUCCCAUUAGUUUCUCUAGACGAGCAAUUUAAAUACUUUAGGUUAUGUUUGGUUUAUUUUAUUGUCUACACUACACAAUCCCAUUAGUUUCUCUAGACAAAUUAGCUUUACUUAUUUCGACACCGCAAUUAGUUUUUCCGGUACCUGAGUGACCUUUGUUUUAAAGUUUUAAGUUAUUGUUCUUUGAGUGA